This 368-nucleotide ribosomal RNA is filed under the name uncultured organism. Its description in RNAcentral is "partial 16S ribosomal RNA". It matches the Rfam family "Bacterial small subunit ribosomal RNA", at positions 527 to 895 of the family's 1533-position model. The record is from RNAcentral.
AGAGGGUGCGAGCGUUAAUCGGAAUUACUGGGCGUAAAGGGUGCGUAGGUGGUCUUAUAAGUCAGAUGUGAAAGCCCUGGGCUUAACCUGGGAACGGCAUUUGAAACUAUGAGACUAGAGUUCGGUAGAGGGAAGUGGAAUUUCCGGUGUAGCGGUGAAAUGCGUAGAUAUCGGAAGGAACACCAGUGGCGAAGGCGACUUCCUGGGCCGACACUGACACAGAGGCACGAAAGCGUGGGGAGCGAACAGGAUUAGAUACCCUGGUAGUCCACGCUGUAAACGAUGAGUACUAGAUGUUAGGGAGCUUAGACUCUUUAGUAUUGUAGCUAACGCGCUAAGUACUCGCCUGGGGACUACGCCGCAAGGUU